This 2471-nucleotide long non-coding RNA is filed under the name Brassica napus (rape). RNAcentral describes it as "long non-coding RNA (BNAP_LNC001352)". The record is from RNAcentral. Lineage: Eukaryota; Viridiplantae; Streptophyta; Magnoliopsida; Brassicales; Brassicaceae.
CAUAUAUGACAGCUGUAUGCAACACACAUGAUGGAAAAGAAAAUGUUCUAUUUCAUCUCACCAACAUAGUAGAGUACUAUAAACACAAUUAGAAUCAUAACCAACCUCUAACUCCAACCAACCUCUAACCCUAAAAUACUAGACCCUAAACCAACCCACCUCUAAAUCAUAAAUACUAACCCCUAAACUCGAAUUCAUAAACCCAAACCCAAUGUAAAAUAUCUUUUAUAAAUUAAAAUACAAAAUAGUAUAGAAUUAACUAUUCUAUUUCAUCUCACCAACGUAGUAUAAUACUAAAACCAUCAGAAUCACAACCAACCUCCAACACUGAAAUACUAAACCCUAAACCAACCCACCUUAAAGCCAUAUAUACUAAACCCUAAACCCGAAUUCAUAAACCCAAACCCAAAUAUAAAAUAUCUUUAAUAAAUUAAAAUACGAAAAUAGUAAAAUUUAACUGUUCUAUUUCAUCUCACCAACAUAGUAUAGUACUAUAACCAUAAUCAGAAUCACAACCAACCUCCAACCUCAACCAACCUCCGACCCUGAAAUACUAGACCCUGAACAAACCCACCUGGAAGCCCUAAAUACUAAACCCAAAACCUGAAUUCAUAAACCCAAACUCAAAUGUAAAAAUAAUUUAAAUAAAUCAAAAUACGGAAAUAGUAUAUAAUUACUUGUUCUAUUUCAUCUAACCAACGUUAUAUAAUACAUAUUGAUCACAUUUUGAAGUGUUUAUGAUUGCAGAGAAGGAGGUAAUGCUUACACCAAAUUCAAAUUGACGCAUAUGGAAUGUGAUUCUUCCAGUGUAAGCAACAAAAAGGAAGAAGAUACAUAGAGUUGGAGUCACUACAUAAAACAUUACUACAACACGAAGGUAGUUUAGAUGGUAGUAUCUAAAAACAAGAAGCAAAGUUAGAACAUAAAAACAAUGCUUAGAAACCAUAAACCCAUGUCUACACGUCCUGGGUGAGUGCUCUGGCUUGACACAGUGCCAGUGUUUCAAUCAAGUAGUUCUCCGCAGCUACACAAACAUUUUCUUCAGUGAAAUCCACACACUUCAAUUCCAUCCCAACAACGUGUAUUUAUAACAUAAUAAGUGUCACUACAGCGGAGCAACCUAUACAAAGCCAAAGUCGCUUAGUUCUAUAAAAACAUUUAUUCUAAGCCAAAUGUAUUUGUCUUGGAAUCACAAAGAGAAUAUGACAUGAGCGAACUACAGUCGAUACAUAGCACAAGAUAAACAUUUCUAUUUAUAUGGAAUAGUAAAUCUAUAUAUGCCAUGGUACACAUGGUUACAUAGAAUGGAAUUGUUAUACAUUACCAUUUGCGACGAGUGAACUCCACUCGAUACAUAAAACAAGAUAAUUAUUUCUAUUUGAUAUAGUAUUGUAUAUAUACGUAUAAUUUGGAACAGAAAAGUACAUUGAAUGGAAUAUAAAUUCUAAAUACAAUUUAAGCUAUUCCAUGUCACAUAGCAUAGACCGAUCAAAUAGCUCUACAUAUACUAUCUUUGUCUCGAUUCCAAACAAAAUUACCAUAGACUUCGAUGUAAACAGAUGAGUAAGACAAAUCGGUAAAAGUUCAGCCAUAAAUCGAUUCGGUGACCUUUGUCUACUAGAUCCGACAUGCAACCCAAAUAGGGAAAAAGAGCAUCGCAAGAAUAGAAUCUAAAACACACACCCUAGAACUUACAGUAGUGCAAUAGAUCUGAGACAAAGCGCCGAUGUGAAUGGAAAAAUGGUCAGUGUGCUCCUUCUCCCCGAUUGGACUGUCACGACGUCUUUUCGCAAUAGAUUUCCAAAGUGGAGACGAUUCCCUUUGCAACACAAUUAGAGAAAGAAAUAAACUCAGAGAACACAGACGGUGGCGAUGGGGAGGAGUGAAACGUGGUUGGAAGAGGUGGAGAAAAUCAUGGAUCAAUUUUUCAAAAAUUACCAAAUAAAGGUAAAAUGAAAGAUGUGAAUAUGAUUACGCCACGAGUAAUUGGAAACAGCUAAUAACUAGGAUUUUUUUAUUUUUAUUUUCUUCAGGUUUCACCGGUAGAAUGAAAGGGUAUUUUGGCAAUAUUAUAGGUAAGACAGAUGGUGUAUCGAUAUAUAAGAGAAAUUGGCUAGAAGGUGAAUUAUGGUUUUUUUCAGCGUCAUACAGCCAAAUUUCCCUUGAAAAAUAACCUUCAAAAAAUCACCUAUAUUAGAAAGCAAAAAUAAAAUAAAAAAAUAUAUAUAUAUUAGAGGAAAACUGUUUAGUUAAUAAUAAUUUAUUUGUUUAAGAACAUUAUGGCCCAACAAGAUAAUAUAACAAGCUGAUAUAACCCAAAACCUCAAAUCCAUAGAUAUGUUCGUAUAUGUCAAAAAUUAAAUGAAAAACCCAAACUAAUUCAACACGUAAUGUCUAAUAGAGUAGUCUGUGUUAAUAAAUGAAGUUAGUUAGUAUCAGUUUCGUAAUCCCUUUUUUUUCCUUAUUUUUUU